AAAAAAAGAAAUUAAAAACAUUUCCAGUAAAGGUUUUGUCACUGGACUAUUGAGACGUUUAAGAAAUAUGACCUCAUUUCUUUAAUUUAUAAUUUGUGGCCUAAAGCAAAGGCUUUAGGUGCCUUAUGGACGGGCCGGACCUGAUAGUUUGAUACAUAGUAGCCUUAAAGAGAUUUCUCUAUGAUUCAUUGGUUUUGCUAGUGGAGAUAGUAAGUAACUAGUAUUAGUCUCUCUGUUUGUAGUCGUCUAGGAGAAAGACCAGAGAACCAAAGGAGGAAAAUGUCACUCUUGGACCAUCUGUUCGUGAGGGAGAGCAAGUUUUUGGAGUUGUUCAUGUCUUUGCUUCCUUCAAUGACACUUUCAUUCAUGUGACUGAUCUCUCUGGAAGAGAAACUCUCGUUCGUAUCACUGGCUGAUCGUGAUGAGUCUUCUCCUUAUGCUGCUAUGCUUGCAGCUCAAGAUGUUGCUCAAAGAUGCAAGGAGCUUGGCAUCACAGCCAUUCAUGUGAAGCUCCGUGCCACUGGAGGAAACAAGACCAAGACUCCCAGGUCCUGGUGCUCAGUCAGCCCUCCGAGCUCUUGCUCGUUCAGGCAUGAAGAUUGGUCGCAUAGGUAACUCUAUCUAUUGUUGUAAAUUCUAAAUACCUGUUAGAUAAUUUGUGUUUUCAUGAGCAAUUUUAAUAACUUUUCUGCUGAAUUGUAGAGGAUGUGACUCCAAUUCCAACCGAUAGUACCCGUAGAAAGGGUGGUAGAAGGGGACGACGUCUCUGAUUUUCUCACCAUUAUCUACCAUUCUCACAAUUCCGUUUAGUACUUGUACUACAUUCGCAAAAUCUUUCUGUAAGACUUUGAUUUUGAUCUGUGUAACGUUAGGAAGAAAUGGAUACAGAAUGAUGGUAAAUAAAAGUAGUUCUGUUUUUUCUUCUUUGCCUUGCUUUUUAUUUUCUGUUGCAGUAGUCUCUCUUACAAACGCCUUAAAGCACAAGUGAAUAUCAUCUAUUCGAAAGAAGCUCAAUUUACAAUAUCUUAAGGUCUUUUGAAAAUUUGUAGAUCUCAAGAUUUGUGUUAUAUAUUCCUGGUGGAUGGCAGUGUAAAGGGUUUCUCAUUUUUGAAAGCCAUCUAUGUU
Molecule: long non-coding RNA, 1125 nt
Organism: Arabidopsis lyrata subsp. lyrata
Lineage: Eukaryota; Viridiplantae; Streptophyta; Magnoliopsida; Brassicales; Brassicaceae
Exons: 4
Source: RefSeq, a predicted model, not a curated record